AACGAACGCUGGCGGCAUGCCUAACACAUGCAAGUCGAACGAGACCUUCGGGUCUAGUGGCGCACGGGUGCGUAACGCGUGGGAACCUGCCCUUAGGUUCGGAAUAACUCCCCGAAAGGGGUGCUAAUACCGGAUAAUGUCUUCGGACCAAAGAUUUAUCGCCUUUGGGUGGGCCCGCGUUGGUUUAGCUAGUUGGUAGGGUAAAAGCCUACCAAGGCGACGAUCCAUAGCUGGUCUGAGAGGAUGAUCAGCCACACUGGGACUGAGACACGGCCCAGAAUCCUACGGGAGGCAGGAGUGGGGAAUAUUGGACAAUGGGCGAAAGCCUGAUCCAGCAAUGCCGCGUGAGUGAUGAAGGCCUUAGGGAUGUAAAGCUCUUUUACCCGGGAUGAUAAUGACAGUACCGGGAGAAUAAGCUCCGGCUAACUCCGUG
Molecule: ribosomal RNA, 433 nt
Filed under: uncultured bacterium
Lineage: Bacteria
Description: partial 16S ribosomal RNA
Rfam family: Bacterial small subunit ribosomal RNA
Source: RNAcentral